CCUACGGGGGGCAGCAGUGGGGGAUAUUGCACAAUGGGGGAAACCCUGAUGCAGCGACGCCGCGUGUGGGAAGACGGUCUUCUGGAUUGUAAACCACUGUCCCCAGGGACGAAAAUGACGGUACCUGGGGAGGAAGCUCCGGCUAACUACGUGCCAGCAGCCGCGGUAAUACGUAGGGAGCAAGCGUUGUCCGGAAUUACUGGGUGUAAAGGGAGCGUAGGCGGGGAUGGAAGUUGGGUGUCAAAACUACCGGCUCAACCGAUAGUCGCACUCAAAACUGCAACUCUUGAGUGAAGUAGAGGCAGGCGGAAUUCCUAGUGUAGCGGUGAAAUGCGUAGAUAUUAGGAGGAACACCAGUGGCGAAGGCGGCCUGCUGGGCUUUUACUGACGCUGAGGCUCGAAAGUGUGGGGAGCAAACAGGAUUAGAUACCCUUGUAGUC
This 440-nucleotide ribosomal RNA is filed under the name uncultured bacterium. RNAcentral's name for it is "partial 16S ribosomal RNA". It matches the Rfam family "Bacterial small subunit ribosomal RNA", at positions 338 to 795 of the family's 1533-position model. The record is from RNAcentral.